AAAGCUUUGAAUCAUCAUCUGUUCUUAUCAGUUUAAUAUCUGAUACGUCCCCCAACGGGGGACUACAUAUUAAAUGGAUUUUUCGAACAGGGAGUCGGAAAUGUCGAACAGGGAGUCGAAAACUUGGAAGAGUGGGUUCGGGGACCACCCGCGGGGACCCGGCCUAGAGUGCACAGUGUGUGUCUCGGGCCCCGACCUC
Salmo salar (Atlantic salmon) is the source of this 199-nucleotide small nuclear RNA. RefSeq annotates it as U2 spliceosomal RNA. NCBI's taxonomy places the organism in Eukaryota, Metazoa, Chordata, Actinopteri, Salmoniformes, Salmonidae. The record is from RefSeq and is a predicted model, not a curated record.